CGUUAAGGAGCCAACUCAUAAAGAGGCCAUACUAGAUUUAGUGUUAACAAAUGGAGAUUUGGUAUCACAUAUUACCGUAGGUGAAAGUUUAAGAUCCAGCGAUCAUCAGUCAGUGUGGUUUAAUAUAAGAACAGUGACUGAGACACACCACACAAAAACAAAAGUUUUAGACUUUAGAAAAACAGACUUUUCUAAAAUUAGAAUAUG
Molecule: non-coding RNA, 207 nt
Organism: Pelobates cultripes (western spadefoot toad)
Lineage: Eukaryota; Metazoa; Chordata; Amphibia; Anura; Pelobatidae
Source: the annotation of a GenBank genome assembly